AUCAUUUGAGAACGAAUCAUUCACGGCAUUCCGGAAAUUUUCACUCGUUAUCUAUUUCGCUCGAUCUUUUAUAUUUUGAAUUCUGAUUUGCUAUCGGCUGCAACGGACAUGAACGGUAACUGGCGAAACCUUUCCGCUAUGUUCCGGAAAUAUAUACGGAACUCUACGAAGUUUUGCAAAUUGUUCGCCAUCUUGAAUACCAUUUUUCAUCGAUCGAGUAGAACAUUAAAACAAUGCAAUAGAAUAUAGUAAAGCAGAAGAUGGAGUUUGCCACUCCAAAAGAUGACAUUAAGGCAAUCGACAGCUCAGUCAGGAACAAAUGGCGAUGGGAUUGGAUAAAAGAUGAGCAAAUGGGGCAAUAUCUUCGGAAAACUAAGCUGCCAGGCUAGGGUGUGGGCCCUUCGCCCCUUUCAGGGACAUUCCACCUCAGACCCAUGCAUCUACAUGAAAUUUUAAAGAAAUAGAUUGUAAUAUUUUCUAGCCAAACUAACUGUUUUUUCAGUUUGGAAUCACUUAAAAAUACAGAUGUUUUUAAGCUCA
Molecule: long non-coding RNA, 540 nt
Organism: Dreissena polymorpha
Lineage: Eukaryota; Metazoa; Mollusca; Bivalvia; Myida; Dreissenidae
Exons: 2
Source: RefSeq, a predicted model, not a curated record